UACGUAGGGGGCAAGCGUUGUCCGGAUUUAUUGGGCGUAAAGAGCGUGUAGGCGGCUUGGUAGGUCCGCUGUGAAAACUCGAGGCUCAACCUCGAGAUGUCGGCGGAAACCACUUGGCUAGAGUCCGGAAGAGGAGAGUGGAAUUCCUGGUGUAGCGGUGAAAUGCGCAGAUAUCGGGAGGAACACCAAUGGCGAAGGCAGCUCGCUGGGACGUGACUGACGCUGAGACGCGAAAGCGUGGGGAGCAAACAGG
Molecule: ribosomal RNA, 253 nt
Filed under: uncultured bacterium
Lineage: Bacteria
Description: partial 16S ribosomal RNA
Rfam family: Bacterial small subunit ribosomal RNA
Source: RNAcentral